GUGAGUCAUCGAAUCUUUGAACGCAUAUUGCGCCCGAGGCCUCGGCCAAGGGCAUGUCUGCCUCAGCGUCGGCUCACCCCUCGCCACCCCCUUCCUGCUGUGCAAGCAGCGGCAAGGUGUGGACGGCGGAUCUGGCCGUCUCGGUCCCCUUCAAAACGGGACCGGGUCGGCUGAAGCCCAGAGGCUUUGCAGGACCCUGUCACAUGGGCACAGCUUGGUAGGUAGCUCACGCUGCAUGCCGCUGGCGCCUGGUUGGGGCCUGCGCUCACAAAGCCCGCAGGAAACACACACCCUUUGUUU
Molecule: unclassified non-coding RNA, 300 nt
Filed under: uncultured fungus
Lineage: Eukaryota; Fungi
Description: sequence contains 5.8S rRNA gene, ITS2
Rfam family: 5.8S ribosomal RNA (bases 1-71)
Source: RNAcentral